Bactrocera oleae (olive fruit fly) is the source of this 1312-nucleotide long non-coding RNA. RefSeq lists it as uncharacterized. Lineage: Eukaryota; Metazoa; Arthropoda; Insecta; Diptera; Tephritidae. The record is from RefSeq and is a predicted model, not a curated record.
AUUAACCGACGUAUACGGUAUAAAGUAAUACCGUUAUAGUAUUAGGGCUCCGAUUCAAUUUCAUGGACUGUGUUCAUUCAUUUACGGCAACAAACUACAGAAUACUUUCGGAAAUAUACUAACUUAAUUUUAAGCACAAAGCAAAAUGCCCAGAGAUGUCCACUCACUUAUAUUAAGAUGUUUUACAAAUUUAUAGUUAUUUUCGAUAGAAAAUCAGCCAUGGGUCCUGAAGUCCUCAUUAUCGAUAUCUUGGGGCUUGUAAAGUUAUGGUUCGAUAACUAAUUAACUUUAAUUAAUUGGAAUAUUAUACUUAUAUGUAUCUGCAAAUUUCAGUUUGAUGUUUUUGUACAAUAAUUAAUUGUUUAAUCUAACAUAAAUCUUACUAAAAUAGAUAAUAAUAAAAUUAACAUUAUCACUCGUUCCCAUGUGUUAUAAAGACCGUUAUGUAAACAAAACUAAGCACUCUUAUGCCACACGCCAUCUGGUAUAUAAAAUGUGGACAAGAAGACUUGUUCUGAAGGAUUGAUUAUUUUAAUACCCAUGGUAAUGAUUCGAUGAAACCGAUGAUAUAAUUUAAAAGUUAUAAAAUUUUGUCAUAAAAUAAAUAAUAAAAAUGUUUUUUUUUUAUUAAAAAUUUCUAAUUCCGUCUCUUCUAAAAAAAAAACAUAUAAUUACGUGCGGCUACGGGUAUAACAAAGAUAUGUUUCUGAUAUAUGUAUGUACAUACAGAUCUAAAUAAUAAUAAUAACAAAGGAAAUAUAUAUCAAUUAAGCUUUUGAUUUUAAUACAAUUUUUUUAAAUUUUUUUACAAAGAAAGGUUUUAAUACUGUUGAAAUACUCUAAGAAUUAAUCCGAUGUUUCUCUUGGUAUCAUAGGUUAUUAAAAAUCUUAUUAUUUUGGCUUUUCAUCCAUUUGUAUUUUAAUAGAAAAUUACGGUCUGUUUUAUACUAACAUAAGUUACAAUAAAAAAAAAACGGAAUUACCGCUGGACAUUAAUUAAAUUCAUAUUUGUAAAUUAGGUAUAUAAGUUUUUAUGAAUUUUUCCAACCAUUAACGCUCAUGCAAAUGCAGCAAUUAAAGAUAUUUUGGAGAAUAUUGACUAAUUCUUAAAAUCAAUGAUUUGAAAUUUCGUUUUGCUUACUAUACUGAAAAUCUGGUGGUGUUUAUGAGCCAGUGAUACUUUUUGUGUUGAAAAUUUAAUACAUAUUAGAAUACCCUGUGCUCUCAACACUUGUGGUUCUAAAUUUUUCAUUUGCUUUGAAGGAAGCUUUUAAUAUUUAAUGCAACUUGCAAAUUAAAAAAAUAGUGACUU